GCACGGAUAGCUCAGUUGGCAGAGCGUUAGGCUUUUAAUCUAACGGUCCAGGGUUCAAGCCCCUGCUCGGGCC
Non-coding RNA from Rhipicephalus sanguineus (brown dog tick), 73 nucleotides. Lineage: Eukaryota; Metazoa; Arthropoda; Arachnida; Ixodida; Ixodidae. The record is from the annotation of a RefSeq genome assembly.